RNAcentral lists this ribosomal RNA (253 nucleotides) under uncultured bacterium. RNAcentral's name for it is "partial 16S ribosomal RNA". It matches the Rfam family "Bacterial small subunit ribosomal RNA", at positions 524 to 776 of the family's 1533-position model. The record is from RNAcentral.
UACGAGGGGUGCGAGCGUUGCUCGGAAUUAUUGGGCGUAAAGGGUAGGUAGGUGGUCUCGUUUGUCUGGGGUGAAAUCCUUGGGCUUAACUCAAGAAGUGCCUCGGAAACGGCGAGACUAGAGUACUGGAGAGGGUCGUGGAAUUCCCGGUGUAGCGGUGAAAUGCGUAGAUAUCGAGAGGAACACCUGCGGCGAAGGCGGGUUGCUGGGCUGACACUGACGCUGAGGCGCGAAAGCUAGGGGAGCGAACGGG